RNAcentral lists this ribosomal RNA (406 nucleotides) under uncultured bacterium. RNAcentral describes it as "partial 16S ribosomal RNA". It matches the Rfam family "Bacterial small subunit ribosomal RNA", at positions 30 to 526 of the family's 1533-position model. The record is from RNAcentral.
AUUGACCGCUGGCGGCAGGCCUAACACAUGCAAGUCGAACGAGUGGCGGACGGGUGAGUAAUGUCUGGGAAACUGCCUGCUGGAGGGGGAUAACUACUGGCAACGGUAGCUAAUACCGCAUACCAUCGGAUGUGCCCAGAUGGGAUUAGCUAGUAGGUGGGGUAAAGGCUCACCUCGGCGACGAUCCCUAGCUGGUCUGAGAGGAUGACCAGCCACAAGGGAACUGAGACACGGUCCAGACUCCUACGGGAGGCAGCAGUGGGGAAUAUUGCACAAUGGGCGCAAGCCUGAUGCAGCCAUGCCGCGUGUAUGAAGAAGGCCUUCGGGUUGUAAAGUACUUUCAGCGGGGAGGCGUUACCCGCAGAAGAAGCACCGGCUAACUCCGUGCCAGCAGCCGCGGUAAUAC